CUAUUUUGAUUGGCUAACAGACAUUUUAUUCACUUGUGGUUUUUGUGUGGAAUUGAACGUAGACAGUAGCUAUGCCGGCCAAGCUGGAGGAGGUAUUGGAAAAUGAGCGGAGCAUGGCGGGGGGUUCGGGGGGAAGCUGAUGAUUUCCCACAAUCCUGUCCGGCUGCGCUGAUGAAUGUCAGAAAACACAGGAGUGUUUUGCUUGUGGCAUGAUUGGUUAGGGACGUUACCUCAUUGUCUCCUUCCUGUGCACCGUCACGUACAUCUCAUACACUCGUCCCUGAGGGAUAGCACCCGCUGGCACCAACAAGCUCACGCCUGUGGGUCUGGCUGUAAGUCGUACAGAGCCUCUUCUUCAGCAGCACUCGAUGCGGCCUGUUCUUCAUUAAGCUUUUUAGCAUCAAUCAGUGGCUGGCAGCACCUGGGCUACCACAAUCCAGACUGUAAGUGCUGACACUCGCAUACACACUAAACGCUACUGGAUCACUUCAAGAUGUGCACCAGAAGCUCACGUGGUGGAAAUGCGGUGCACAUUCAUGACAUCAGGAAAUUCACAAAUAAUAAUGAAGUGCCUGACUGUUUAGAGUCAUUUUAAAUUGUUUUUUAGUUUGUUUAAUAUUAGUCCUAAAGUCAUGAUUAACUAAUUAAAGCUCACUGGUCAAAAGGUCGAUUCAUAUUUUUUAUAUCCUGUCAUGUUCUUCACUGUUUAUGUGAUGUGGUUAUCUACACCAGUAUAUCAUUACUUUCCACCCCUCACCCACCUGAGU
Long non-coding RNA from Tachysurus fulvidraco (yellow catfish), 767 nucleotides. RefSeq lists it as uncharacterized. NCBI's taxonomy places the organism in Eukaryota, Metazoa, Chordata, Actinopteri, Siluriformes, Bagridae. The transcript has 3 exons. The record is from RefSeq and is a predicted model, not a curated record.